Molecule: ribosomal RNA, 561 nt
Filed under: uncultured bacterium
Lineage: Bacteria
Description: bacterial SSU rRNA
Rfam family: Bacterial small subunit ribosomal RNA
Source: RNAcentral
AGGUAACGGCUCACCAAGGCUUCGACGGGUAGCUGAUCUGAGAGGAUGAUCAGCCACACUGGCACUGCGACACGGGCCAGACUCCUACGGGAGGCAGCAGUAAGGAAUAUUGCGCAAUGGGCGAAAGCCUGACGCAGCGACGCCGCGUGGGGGAUGAAGGUCUUCGGAUUGUAAACCCCUUUCGGGAGGGAAGAUGGGAUGGGGUAACCCAUUCGGACGGUACCUCCAGAAGCAGCCACGGCUAACUUCGUGCCAGCAGCCGCGGUAAUACGAAGGUGGCAAGCGUUGUUCGGAUUUACUGGGCGUACAGGGAGCGUAGGCGGUUGGAUAAGCCCUCCGUGAAAUCUCCAGGCUUAACCUGGAAAGUGCAGAGGGGACUGUUCAGCUAGAGGAUGGGAGAGGAGCGCGGAAUUCCCGGUGUAGCGGUGAAAUGCGUAGAGAUCGGGAGGAAGGCCGGUGGCGAAGGCGGCGCUCUGGAACAUUUCUGACGCUGAGGCUCGAAAGCGUGGGGAGCAAACAGGAUUAGAUACCCUGGUAGUCCACGCCUUAAACGAUGGAUAC